CUCGAUCUUCAGAGUAUCAUUGGAGGGCAAGUCUGGUGCCAGCAGCCGCGGUAAUUCCAGCUCCAAUAGCGUAUAUUAAAAUUGUUGCAGUUAAAAAGCUCGUAGUUGAAUUUCUGCUGCAUCGUCGCAUCUCUUGCUGAGUGCUUCGUUUCGGCUUAUUUCGGAUUGAUUUUUUCUUUCCGGAUGAUUACUUUGAGAAAAUUAGAGUGCUCAAAGCAGGCUUUUGCCUUGAAUAGUUUAGCAUGGAAUAAUAAAGUAGGACUUUGGUUCUAUUUUGUUGGUUUUAGGUACCAAAGUAAUGGUUAAUAGGAACAGUUGGGGGCAUUCGUAUUUAACUGUCAGAGGUGAAAUUCUUAGAUUUGUUAAAGACGAACUACUGCGAAAGCAUUUGCCAAGGAUGUUUUCAUUAAUCAAGAACGAAAGUUAGGGGAUCGAAGACGAUCAGAUACCGUCGUAGUCCUACC
RNAcentral lists this ribosomal RNA (464 nucleotides) under Theileria sinensis. RNAcentral's name for it is "SSU rRNA". It matches the Rfam family "Eukaryotic small subunit ribosomal RNA", at positions 528 to 1030 of the family's 1831-position model. The record is from RNAcentral. Lineage: Eukaryota; Apicomplexa; Aconoidasida; Piroplasmida; Theileriidae.